GAUGUUCAACCUUUUCUUUACUUCCAGCAUUUCCAACAACGUAGCAACCCAUCAACUUAGCAAACUGCCCAACAAGCUGACCAACUGCACCAGAUGCUGCUGAAACAUACACACGUUCUCCUUCCUUCGGAGAACAUAUAUCUGUUAAUCCAAAGUAAGCAGUGAUGCCAGGCAUUCCAAGAAGUCCAGUGUAGUAGGAAAGGGGAACAUCAGUAUGGGGAAUUUUAAAGAGUCUCUCAGGCUCUGUUAUAAGACUGUACUCUUCCCAGCCG
This 272-nucleotide unclassified non-coding RNA is filed under the name Hevea brasiliensis (rubber tree). The record is from RNAcentral. Lineage: Eukaryota; Viridiplantae; Streptophyta; Magnoliopsida; Malpighiales; Euphorbiaceae.